ACUGACUGGAAUAACGCCUGGAAACGGGUGCUAAUGCCGGAUAGGCAACUGGUAGGCAUCUACCGGUUGGGAAAGGUGCAACUGCACCGCAGAUGGAGGAGCCCGCGGCGCAUUAGCUAGUUGGUGGGGUAACGGCUCACCAAGGCAACGAUGCGUAGCCGACCUGAGAGGGUGACCGGCCACACUGGGACUGAGACACGGCCCAGACUCCUACGGGAGGCAGCAGUAGGGAAUCUUCCACAAUGGGCGCAAGCCUGAUGGAGCAACGCCGCGUGAGUGAAGACGGCCUUCGGGUUGUAAAGCUCAGUCACUCGGGAAGAGCGGACGAGGGAGUGGAAAGCCCUCGUCGAGACGGUACCGAGAGAGGAAGCCCCGGCUAACUACGUG
RNAcentral lists this ribosomal RNA (387 nucleotides) under uncultured bacterium. RNAcentral describes it as "bacterial SSU rRNA". It matches the Rfam family "Bacterial small subunit ribosomal RNA", at positions 133 to 507 of the family's 1533-position model. The record is from RNAcentral.